AUGCAGAGAGGCGCUCUCCUGCUCAUUUUCUGCAUCAUCCCUGGCUUUCCCCUUGCUUAGAGAACACUGUAGGUACUAAGUGAAGACAGAAAACUGAAGAUAGCAUAUCUGGAAGGGAUUGGACAAGGACAGAGAGAGGCAGUGCCAAUGUUCUGCUGUAUACUGAACGUGAUUGUGGUCAUGUUGAUGAGGCUCCAAAAUGACCUGACUUGCAAAAGAGACCCAUGACUCUAUAAGGCACUUGGCCUAAAAUGGAAACACACAGAAAAGACCCCAGAAGUGCAACAGCACUGCUUACUCAUGUCUACCUUACUUCACUUAUUUUCCACUGUGUUAUUUUCCCAACUAAACAGAGACUGAUAAUCCUGCCUUAUUUAACAUCUGUUUUUUGUACUCACUUA
This is a long non-coding RNA of Gallus gallus (chicken), 401 nucleotides long. RefSeq lists it as uncharacterized. The record is from RefSeq and is a predicted model, not a curated record. Lineage: Eukaryota; Metazoa; Chordata; Aves; Galliformes; Phasianidae. The transcript has 3 exons.